UCUCUUUUUAUCUCUCGAAUCUGAAACGGGGAUUCGGGGAAGAGAGGGGAGUUGCAGAAAUCUCUCGGCAGUCAGCUUCCCUUGGAAAUUUUAGAUCGAUUUUCAUAGUUUUUUUAAUUAUCGUGGUUUAAUUCCUGUCUUUGUGCUUGUCAAAGAAUUCAGAUCAUACGCUUCUGCAUUUUUUUCUUGUCGGCAUGGCAGAGGAGAGGUAUAACCUAAAGAAUCCAGCUGUGAAGAGGAUUCUUCAGGAGGUGAAGGAGAUGCAAGCAAACCCUUCCGAUGAUUUCAUGAGCCUUCCACUCGAGGAAAAUAUAUUUGAAUGGCAAUUUGCCAUUAGGGGCCCUUGUGACACUGAAUUUGAAGGAGGAAUUUAUCAUGGACGGAUCCAACUGCCAGCCGAUUAUCCAUUCCAGCCUCCUGCAUUUAUGAUGCUCACUCCAAAUGGCCGUUUUGAAACACAAACAAAAAUUUGCUUAAGCAUAUCAAAUCAUCAUCCUGAGCAUUGGCAGCCGUCAUGGAGUGUCCGGACUGCUUUGGUAGCAUUGAUUGCAUUCAUGCCAACCAACCCAGAUGGUGCAUUAGGCUCACUGGAUUACAAGAGGGAAGAAAGACGUACAUUGGCCAUCAAAUCUCGUGAGGCAGCUCCAAGAGUCGGGACUCCAGAACGCCAAAAAGUGAUUGAUGAGAUUCACGAGUAUAUGCUAAGAAAAGCACCCCCUGUUCCCCAACUCAGCCCCCUACAGAUCUCCAAUGAACCCUCUACCAAUGAAGUAGGGGAACCUGAAGGCACUCCACAAAAUGCUGGUGUAGUUGCAGUGGGUGAAGAUCCUAAUCCAGAAGGAGAUGGCAAUCAGAGGAUGGUAGAAGACGUGCGAGAAGUCCACGUGAAUGCUAAUACUGGGCCCUUGAGAGUCAGUUUUAGUGCGGGAUUGAGGGUGUCGAGACAGGUCCCAGCUGCAGAUCCCAUCGAGCAAGCACAGGAGAGGGCAGAAGUGAGGGUGCAGAAAGCUUCCGAUGAUCGUUUGUUUACAUGGGCUGCUGUUGGGCUUACCAUAGCAAUCGUUGUUCUUUUACUCAAGAAAUUCCUAAGGUCUAGUGGAUAUGCCGCUGGUUACGUGGAUGGGUUUAAAUAGAGAGAUGUGAGGAUGUUUGAAUGAGAGGUUGCCCAACCCUUAGAGAUUGAAAGAGAAGUAGUAAUUACUUUAAAAGGGCUUUGAUACUAUGUUGAAAGGUUUAACCCAAAACAUUAAGGCAUUAGGUGGAAAGAGCUCUUCAUAUAUACGAAAGGCACCAAGGUUGUAUUUAAACUGAUAUGAGACUACACCUCUAUAACUCCCAAUUUCUAUACAUUCUUUAGUCUGUAAGCCUCAUAAUUUCCAAGAAACCUAAAGGGUUGCAAGAAUGAAAAUGUAUGAAAUGAUACCUUUUUAAGUCC
RNA transcript from Macadamia integrifolia, 1435 nucleotides. It is a transcript of the gene named ubiquitin-conjugating enzyme E2 32-like, with no coding region annotated. The transcript has 6 exons. NCBI's taxonomy places the organism in Eukaryota, Viridiplantae, Streptophyta, Magnoliopsida, Proteales, Proteaceae. The record is from RefSeq and is a predicted model, not a curated record.